This 1357-nucleotide long non-coding RNA is filed under the name Homo sapiens (human). Its description in RNAcentral is "non-protein coding lnc-PFKP-9:1". Lineage: Eukaryota; Metazoa; Chordata; Mammalia; Primates; Hominidae. The record is from RNAcentral.
UAGAACUAAAGGAAACACAAAGUACAAUCGCCCCACUCUUCAUGUAACGCUGUGAAAGAAUCCUGCUCAUCAGAACGAAUUCUAACGGGUCGCUGAAUGUGAAGCUCACGUCACCAACAAAGCGCGGUUUCCUCCCUCGCCAUCCUUCCUCAUGGUCGCGCACCCGGUUCACCUCACCAACAAAGCGCGGUUUCCUCCCUCGCCCUUCUUCCUCGGGAUCGUGCACGCGGUUCACGUCACCAACAAAGCGCGGUUUCCUCCCUCGCCAGACUUCCUCAUGGUCGCGCACCCGUUUCACCUCACCAACAAAGCGCGGUUUCCUCCCUCGCGAUCCUUCCUCGUGAUCGCGCACCCAGCUCACCUCACCAGCAAAGCGCGGUUUCCUCCCUGGCAAUACUUCCUCGGGAUCGUGCACCCGUUUCACCUCACCAACAAAGCGCGGUUUCCUCCCUCGCCAUCCUUCCUCAUGGUCGCGCACCCGGCUCACCUCAAGAACAAAGCGCGGUUUCCUCCCUGGCAAUACUUCCUCGGGAUCGUGCACGCGGUUCACCUCACCAACAAAGCGCGGUUUCCUCCCUCGCCAUCCUUCCUCGUGGUCGCGCACCCGGCUCACCUCAAGAACAAAGCGCGGUUUCCUCCCUCGCCAUCCUUCCUUAUGGUCGCGCACCCGGCUCACCUCAACAACAAAGCGCGGUUUCCUCCCUCGCCAUCCUUCCUCGUGGUCGCGCACCCGGUUGGAUUUCACAGUCAUGGAAGUUCUGCUUUAAAAUCCGUUUCUGAAGAAGUGUUAAUGUAUAAGAAAAACAGCAGACGAACACCAGGUGAGGGAGAGUGUAUUAAACACCUGGACGGUACUCCGCAAAUAUGACACAGUCACCAAAGACAAGUUUGAGAAUCUGUCUCAGACAAGAUCUUGACACUGCUGACCAGGGACAAAAUGUCCCAUUGACAGUCAUGCUCUGGAGCAGGAUGGGCAGUGAGAGACCAGAGACCACAGGAUGGUGGAAAAGCCAGGAAAUUUGUGAGCCGACCAAACCGGAUUUGAAUUCUCUUUCUGAAAAUAAGUAAUUAUGUGAGUCACUCAUUCUCUGAGCUUGAGUUUCUGCAUCCGUAAACUAAGGAUGAUAUGUGAGUUUUGCUUGUUUCCCUAAGACAAGUUAUGCAAACUGAUAAGAGCAGAGUAGACCCUUAGUUAAUGUGUUUCCUUUUUUAGUAGUUCUUAAUUCUUCAAUUUCCAUAAGAAUUUAGAUUAAAAGAUGUAGUUUUGCUCAGAUGAUGCCAAAAUCAUAUGUGCAUCUUUUUAAAACUGAUUAUCAAAUAUAAUUAUGUAGUCAGUGAAUUAAGCAAGAAUAAAAAC